GACGAACGCUGGCGGCGUGCUUAACACAUGCAAGUCGAACGAUGAACCGGAGCUUGCUCCGGGGAUUAGUGGCGAACGGUGAGUAACACGUGGGCAACCUGCCCCAGACACCGGGAUAACCCUUCCGAAAGGAUGGCUAAUACCGGAUACGACCACUUCGGGCAUCCGACGGUGGUGGAAAGGAUUCUGGUCUGGGAUGGGCCCGCGGCCUAUCAGCUUGUUGGUGGGGUAAUGGCCUACCAAGGCGACGACGGGUAGCCGGCCUGAGAGGGCGACCGGCCACACUGGGACUGAGACACGGCCCAGACUCCUACGGGAGGCAGCAGUGGGGAAUAUUGCGCAAUGGGCGAAAGCCUGACGCAGCGACGCCGCGUGAGGGACGAAGGUCUUCGGAUUGUAAACCUCUUUCAGCAGGGACGAAGCGAAAGUGACUGUACCUGCAGAGAAGCACCGGCUAACUACGUGCCAGCAGCCGCGGUAAU
RNAcentral lists this ribosomal RNA (482 nucleotides) under uncultured bacterium. RNAcentral describes it as "bacterial SSU rRNA". It matches the Rfam family "Bacterial small subunit ribosomal RNA", at positions 28 to 524 of the family's 1533-position model. The record is from RNAcentral.